UACGAGGGGGGCGAGCGUUGUUCGGAAUUAUUGGGCGUAAAGGGUGCGUAGGCGGUUUGGUAAGUCUGAUGUGAAAUCUAUGGGCUCAACUCAUAGUCUGCAUCGGAAACUGCCGGGCUUGAGUAUGGGAGAGGUGAGUGGAAUUCCUGGUGUAGCGGUGAAAUGCGUAGAUAUCAGGAGGAACACCUGUGGCGAAAGCGGCUCACUGGACCGAUAACUGACGCUGAUGCACGAAAAGCUAGGGGAGCAAACAGG
This 255-nucleotide ribosomal RNA is filed under the name uncultured bacterium. RNAcentral's name for it is "partial 16S ribosomal RNA". It matches the Rfam family "Bacterial small subunit ribosomal RNA", at positions 524 to 776 of the family's 1533-position model. The record is from RNAcentral.